UGCUGAUGAUGCUAUUGAAGAAUGUAAGUAUUUGGAAAGCAAAGGUCUUCUGGAUGUAGAAAGUUUGCAGCUUUAUGCGCUUUCUUAUUGGAAACUUGGAAAAUAUGACCUUGCUCUUUCUAUGGCAAAGAGACUGGCCUCAUCUGCUUUACCAACGGAGCAUCCAUUGGCUGCUGCCUCCGUCAGUUUCAUCUGUAGAUUAGUAUAUCAUAUUUCAGGGAAGGAAUUAGCUAUAAGAAACAUAUUACAACUGCCAAAAAGAGCCUUCCAGAGUUCAAGAGUUAGGCUUGUAGCAUUUGCUAUUCAUGCAUUAGAUGAAAGUCAUCAGCUUGACUCAGUUGUUUCAUGUGUUCGUGAGUCUCUUUCAUCUAACAAAGAGAUUGCUGCGCUGGAUUUCCUGGCCACACUGGGCUUACUA
RNAcentral lists this unclassified non-coding RNA (418 nucleotides) under Hevea brasiliensis (rubber tree). The record is from RNAcentral. Lineage: Eukaryota; Viridiplantae; Streptophyta; Magnoliopsida; Malpighiales; Euphorbiaceae.